UCGAUUAAUAGAGAUCGAGUAAGAGAAAGCUAAAUCAAUCGAAACCAGAAAUUAAACCAAAAAACUUCAAUUGGUGUAUGAUUUGCUGACCUAAAAACUCGUAUAAAAAAGCCUAAUUUACAAAUCUUUCGCUCUUAGCUUGAAACUCUCAGAAGAAGAUUCAAUUGAAGAAUUAGAAACCCUAGAAAUCUCUAUCCUCAGAAGAAGAUUGAAGUAAAAUCUUUGGAGAUUCAGAAGAAGAUUGAAGUAAAAUCUUUGGAGAUUCAGAAGAAGAUUGAAGUAGAAUCUUUGAAGGUUCAUGUAUUACCUCUA
Papaver somniferum (opium poppy) is the source of this 312-nucleotide long non-coding RNA. RefSeq lists it as uncharacterized. The transcript is spliced from 4 exons. The record is from RefSeq and is a predicted model, not a curated record. Lineage: Eukaryota; Viridiplantae; Streptophyta; Magnoliopsida; Ranunculales; Papaveraceae.